This 467-nucleotide ribosomal RNA is filed under the name uncultured bacterium. Its description in RNAcentral is "partial 16S ribosomal RNA". It matches the Rfam family "Bacterial small subunit ribosomal RNA", at positions 28 to 506 of the family's 1533-position model. The record is from RNAcentral.
GACGAACGCUGGCGGCGUGCUUAACACAUGCAAGUCGAACGGAAAGGCCCUGCUUUUGUGGGGUGCUCGAGUGGCGAACGGGUGAGUAACACGUGAGUAACCUGCCCUUGACUUUGGGAUAACUUCAGGAAACUGGGGCUAAUACCGGAUAGGAGCUCCUGCUGCAUGGUGGGGGUUGGAAAGUUUCGGCGGUUGGGGAUGGACUCGCGGCUUAUCAGCUUGUUGGUGGGGUAGUGGCUUACCAAGGCUUUGACGGGUAGCCGGCCUGAGAGGGUGACCGGCCCCAUUGGGACUGAGAUACGGCCCAGACUCCUACGGGAGGCAGCAGUGGGGAAUAUUGCACAAUGGGCGGAAGCCUGAUGCAGCAACGCCGCGUGCGGGAUGACGGCCUUCGGGUUGUAAACCGCUUUCGCCUGUGACGAAGCGUGAGUGACGGUAAUGGGUAAAGAAGCACCGGCUAACUACGU